Molecule: ribosomal RNA, 446 nt
Filed under: uncultured bacterium
Lineage: Bacteria
Description: SSU rRNA
Rfam family: Bacterial small subunit ribosomal RNA
Source: RNAcentral
AGAACGAACGCUGGCGGCAGGCUUAACACAUGCAAGUCGAACGCGUGUAGCAAUACACGAGUGGCGCACGGGUGAGUAACGCGUGGGAACGUACCUUAGAGUUCGGAAUAACCUCGGGAAACUGAGGCUAAUACCGGAUAUUCCUUACGGGGGAAAGAUUUAUCGCUCUAAGAUCGGCCCGCGUCAGAUUAGCUAGUUGGUGGGGUAAUGGCCUACCAAGGCUCCGAUCUGUAGCUGGUCUGAGAGGACGACCAGCCACACUGGAACUGAGACACGGUCCAGACUCCUACGGGAGGCAGCAGUGGGGAAUAUGGACAAUGGGCGAAAGCCUGAUCCAGCCAUGCCGCGUGAGUGAUGAAGGCCUUAGGGUUGUAAAGCUCUUUGUCAGGGAAGAUAAUGACGGUACCUGAAGAAUAAGCACCGGCUAACUUCGUGCCAGCAGCCGC